Molecule: non-coding RNA, 139 nt
Filed under: pig gut metagenome
Description: glmS glucosamine-6-phosphate activated ribozyme
Rfam family: glmS glucosamine-6-phosphate activated ribozyme aptamer
About the family: This entry contains a glucosamine-6-phosphate activated ribozyme that is found in the mRNA for GlmS. GlmS is an enzyme that uses fructose-6-phosphate and glutamine to generate glucosamine-6-phosphate.
Source: RNAcentral
UAAAUAUAGCGCCUGAACAUUCUUGGUUUUAUAAGUAUGUUGACGAGGUCUAGAGCUUAUCGAAAUAUUCGGCGGAUACUCUAGUGGCUUUGCUUAAGGUCAUAGUAUUAGUUAAAAAACAGUAGUGAUAUUGUAACAA